Molecule: ribosomal RNA, 443 nt
Filed under: uncultured bacterium
Lineage: Bacteria
Description: partial 16S ribosomal RNA
Rfam family: Bacterial small subunit ribosomal RNA
Source: RNAcentral
CCUACGGGUGGCUGCAGUGGGGAAUAUUGGGCAAUGGGCGCAAGCCUGACCCAGCAACGCCGCGUGAAGGAAGAAGGCUUUCGGGUUGUAAACUUCUUUUCUCAGGGACGAAGCAAGUGACGGUACCUGAGGAAUAAGCCACGGCUAACUACGUGCCAGCAGCCGCGGUAAUACGGAGGUGGCAAGCGUUAUCCGGAUUUACUGGGUGUAAAGGGCGUGUAGGCGGGACUGCAAGUCAGAUGUGAAAACCACGGGCUCAACCUGUGGCCUGCAUUUGAAACUGUAGUUCUUGAGUACUGGAGAGGCAGGCGGAAUUCGUGGUGUAGCGGUGAAAUGCGUAGAUAUUAGGAGGAACACCGGUGGCGAAGGCAGUCUGCUGGACAGCAACUGACGCUGAGGCGCGAAAGCGUGGGGAGCAAACAGGAUUAGAUACCCGAGUAGUC